RNAcentral lists this ribosomal RNA (2933 nucleotides) under Enterobacter hormaechei. RNAcentral's name for it is "23S ribosomal RNA". It matches the Rfam family "Bacterial large subunit ribosomal RNA". The record is from RNAcentral. Lineage: Bacteria; Pseudomonadati; Pseudomonadota; Gammaproteobacteria; Enterobacterales; Enterobacteriaceae.
GGGUUGUGAGGUUAAGCGACUAAGCGUACACGGUGGAUGCCCUGGCAGUCAGAGGCGAUGAAGGACGUGCUAAUCUGCGAAAAGCGCCGGCGAGGUGAUAUGAACCCUUGACCCGGCGAUGUCCGAAUGGGGAAACCCAGUGCAAUCCGUUGCACUAUCGUUAACUGAAUACAUAGGUUAACGAGGCGAACCGGGGGAACUGAAACAUCUAAGUACCCCGAGGAAAAGAAAUCAACCGAGAUUCCCCCAGUAGCGGCGAGCGAACGGGGAGCAGCCCGGAGUCUGAAUCAGCUUGUGUGUUAGUGGAACGGUCUGGAAAGUCCGACGGUACAGGGUGAUAGUCCCGUACACGAAAGCACACAUGCUGUGAACUCGAAGAGUAGGGCGGGACACGUGGUAUCCUGUCUGAAUAUGGGGGGACCAUCCUCCAAGGCUAAAUACUCCUGACUGACCGAUAGUGAACCAGUACCGUGAGGGAAAGGCGAAAAGAACCCCGGCGAGGGGAGUGAAAAAGAACCUGAAACCGUGUACGUACAAGCAGUGGGAGCCUCUUUUAUGGGGUGACUGCGUACCUUUUGUAUAAUGGGUCAGCGACUUAUAUUCUGUAGCAAGGUUAACCGUAUAGGGGAGCCGAAGGGAAACCGAGUCUUAACUGGGCGUUAAGUUGCAGGGUAUAGACCCGAAACCCGGUGAUCUAGCCAUGGGCAGGUUGAAGGUUGGGUAACACUAACUGGAGGACCGAACCGACUAAUGUUGAAAAAUUAGCGGAUGACCUGUGGCUGGGGGUGAAAGGCCAAUCAAACCGGGAGAUAGCUGGUUCUCCCCGAAAGCUAUUUAGGUAGCGCCUCGUGAACUCAUCUUCGGGGGUAGAGCACUGUUUCGGCUAGGGGGCCAUCCCGGCUUACCAACCCGAUGCAAACUACGAAUACCGAAGAAUGUUAUCACGGGAGACACACGGCGGGUGCUAACGUCCGUCGUGAAGAGGGAAACAACCCAGACCGCCAGCUAAGGUCCCAAAGUCAUGGUUAAGUGGGAAACGAUGUGGGAAGGCACAGACAGCCAGGAUGUUGGCUUAGAAGCAGCCAUCAUUUAAAGAAAGCGUAAUAGCUCACUGGUCGAGUCGGCCUGCGCGGAAGAUGUAACGGGGCUAAACCAUGCACCGAAGCUGCGGCAGCGACACUAUGUGUUGUUGGGUAGGGGAGCGUUCUGUAAGCCGUUGAAGGUGUGCUGUGAGGCAUGCUGGAGGUAUCAGAAGUGCGAAUGCUGACAUAAGUAACGAUAAAGCGGGUGAAAAGCCCGCUCGCCGGAAGACCAAGGGUUCCUGUCCAACGUUAAUCGGGGCAGGGUGAGUCGACCCCUAAGGCGAGGCCGAAAGGCGUAGUCGAUGGGAAACAGGUUAAUAUUCCUGUACUUGGUGUUACUGCGAAGGGGGGACGGAGAAGGCUAUGUCAGCCGGGCGACGGUUGUCCCGGUUUAAGCAUGUAGGCGGAGGUUCCAGGUAAAUCCGGUACCUUGUUAACGCUGAGGUGUGAUGACGAGGCACUACGGUGCUGAAGUGAUAAAUGCCCUGCUUCCAGGAAAAGCCUCUAAGCAUCAGGUAACACGAAAUCGUACCCCAAACCGACACAGGUGGUCAGGUAGAGAAUACCAAGGCGCUUGAGAGAACUCGGGUGAAGGAACUAGGCAAAAUGGUGCCGUAACUUCGGGAGAAGGCACGCUGAUAUGUAGGUGAAGCCCCUGCGGGCGGAGCUGAAAUCAGUCGAAGAUACCAGCUGGCUGCAACUGUUUAUUAAAAACACAGCACUGUGCAAACACGAAAGUGGACGUAUACGGUGUGACGCCUGCCCGGUGCCGGAAGGUUAAUUGAUGGGGUUAGCGGCAACGCGAAGCUCUUGAUCGAAGCCCCGGUAAACGGCGGCCGUAACUAUAACGGUCCUAAGGUAGCGAAAUUCCUUGUCGGGUAAGUUCCGACCUGCACGAAUGGCGUAAUGAUGGCCAGGCUGUCUCCACCCGAGACUCAGUGAAAUUGAACUCGCUGUGAAGAUGCAGUGUACCCGCGGCAAGACGGAAAGACCCCGUGAACCUUUACUAUAGCUUGACACUGAACACUGGUCCUUGAUGUGUAGGAUAGGUGGGAGGCUUUGAAGCGUGGACGCCAGUCUGCGUGGAGCCGACCUUGAAAUACCACCCUUUAAUGGCUGGUGUUCUAACGUGGACCCGUAAUCCGGGUUGCGGACAGUGUCUGGUGGGUAGUUUGACUGGGGCGGUCUCCUCCCAAAGAGUAACGGAGGAGCACGAAGGUUGGCUAAUCCUGGUCGGACAUCAGGAGGUUAGUGCAAUGGCAUAAGCCAGCUUGACUGCGAGCGUGACGGCGCGAGCAGGUGCGAAAGCAGGUCAUAGUGAUCCGGUGGUUCUGAAUGGAAGGGCCAUCGCUCAACGGAUAAAAGGUACUCCGGGGAUAACAGGCUGAUACCGCCCAAGAGUUCAUAUCGACGGCGGUGUUUGGCACCUCGAUGUCGGCUCAUCACAUCCUGGGGCUGAAGUAGGUCCCAAGGGUAUGGCUGUUCGCCAUUUAAAGUGGUACGCGAGCUGGGUUUAGAACGUCGUGAGACAGUUCGGUCCCUAUCUGCCGUGGGCGCUGGAGAAUUGAGGGGGGCUGCUCCUAGUACGAGAGGACCGGAGUGGACGCAUCACUGGUGUUCGGGUUGUCAUGCCAAUGGCAUUGCCCGGUAGCUAAAUGCGGAAGAGAUAAGUGCUGAAAGCAUCUAAGCACGAAACUUGCCCCGAGAUGAGUUCUCCCUGAGACUUUAAGUCUCCUGAAGGAACGUUGAAGACGACGACGUUGAUAGGUCGGGUGUGUAAGCGCAGCGAUGCGUUGAGCUAACCGAUACUAAUGAACCGUGAGGCUUAACCUUACAACGCCGAAGGUGUUU